GACGAACGCUGGCGGCGUGCUUGACACAUGCAAGUCGAACGCUGAAGCUCAGCUUUUGUUGGGUGGAUGAGUGGCGAACGGGUGAGUAACACGUGAGUAACCUGCCUCCUUCUUUGGGAUAACGCCCGGAAACGGGUGCUAAUACUGGAUAUUCACUGGUCUUCGCAUGGGGGUUGGUGGAAAGGGUUUUUCUGGUGGGGGAUGGGCUCGCGGCCUAUCAGCUUGUUGGUGGGGUGAUGGCCUACCAAGGCUUUGACGGGUAGCCGGCCUGAGAGGGUGACCGGUCACAUUGGGACUGAGAUACGGCCCAGACUCCUACGGGAGGCAGCAGUGGGGAAUAUUGCACAAUGGGCGCAAGCCUGAUGCAGCGACGCCGCGUGAGGGAUGGAGGCCUUCGGGUUGUGAACCUCUUUCGCUCAUGGUCAAGCCGCAACAAUGGUUGUGGUGAGGGUAGUGGGUAAAGAAGCGCCGGCUAACUACGUG
Molecule: ribosomal RNA, 483 nt
Filed under: uncultured bacterium
Lineage: Bacteria
Description: partial 16S ribosomal RNA
Rfam family: Bacterial small subunit ribosomal RNA
Source: RNAcentral